UAAGUGAGGAUGAAGUGUAUCUGAGG
This 26-nucleotide non-coding RNA is filed under the name Rattus norvegicus (Norway rat). The record is from RNAcentral. Lineage: Eukaryota; Metazoa; Chordata; Mammalia; Rodentia; Muridae.